CUAUCCACAUAGAGGAAAAAAGGGUUUUUGCUCUUUUUUUAUAUACAAAUUAAAUACACUGAUAUUUAUAAUAAUUGUUUCUUAAAAUUCACCGACUUCUUCUAUAUUUUGCACCACAGCUAACAAUGAAGUAAAAUUUUCUUUGACUUGAGCGUAAAAUCGAUAGCUUCCGAUUUUUUGCAGGGAUUGCAUCGAUGCACAUCGAUGUAUCGUAUAAAAACAUUGAUAUUUUAAUUAAUCGAUAUCUUAAUUAAGUAAAAUAUAAUGGAUUCAGUGGCCGGUGCACUUUUCUCUCAGUAGGAAGAACAUGCUGCAGCCAACUGUUGCAUUAAUAUACAAAGGAGAUUGCUACGACACAGUUCUGAUCCAUUUAGCUUAAAUGAUGUAAUAUUUGUAAAAAAUUUCCGCCUCAGCAGAGACGCAUUUAAAAGCGUUUUAGCGUUUAUUGAGGAAGAGCUUGGGCGAAGCGUAAAAUCAACAUCGGUGACUCCUAUAAGUAGAUUGAUGGCACUUUUGAGGUUUUUCGCUGAAGGAAGCUACCAACAUGGUGUUGGGAAAGAUUUUGAUGUGGGGUUGGCUCAAUCCACGUUCUCAAAAACAUUGUCAAAAACUUUAACAUUUUGGAGCGCCGAUUGUGCCCAGUCUGGAUUCAAUUUUCAAUGACGGAGGAGGAGCAUAAACGAUCCAAAAUGUAGUUUUGCAGGAGAACGCAAUUUCCUGGCGUUAUUAUGUGUAUGGACGGCACGCACAUUAAAAUACUUCCUCCUGCAGACGAACCGUAUUUGUACUACAAUCGUAAGGGAUACUACAGCCUAAAUGCAAUGGUGAUUUGCGAUAACAAGAUGCAAAUAAGGUGUGUUGGUGCUCGGUUUCCGGGCAGUAGCCAUGACUAACAUGUGUGGAAUGUAAGCGUUGCAAAAACCUAUUUUGAAAAGAUAUAUCGGCAAGGAAACAAAACACCUUGGACAUUAGGCGAUGCUGGAUAUCCAUUACAGCCGUGGUUAAUUACACCAUUCCUUUCUACUGUGGCAGGAAGACGAGAAAGAAUCUUCAACAAAACGCACAGUAAAGCGAGCAACAUAGUCGGGAGAGUCAUCGGCGUUUUGAAAAAUAGAUUUCGAUGCCUGCUAAGUGCUCGCCAACUACAUUAUUCGCCCCAAAAAGUGGUAAUAAUAAAUGUGGUAUGCACAUUGCAUAACAUGUGCAUCCACUACAACGUUGAAGAUAAUACACCUGACAUUAUAGAUGAUGAAUAUGAAGAUGUAAAUGAAGCGGAAGCGCCAUCAGAAUUUUUCAGAGAAGCGUCACACAUAAGAAUGCAAAUUUUGUGAUCAUUACCUAACUAAUGAAAACAAUCCCGUAACUUUGUACUUCAUAUUUAUUUAUUAUAAAAAAUAUUUAAAAAAUUAGAAA
Rhagoletis pomonella (apple maggot) is the source of this 1413-nucleotide long non-coding RNA. RefSeq lists it as uncharacterized. NCBI's taxonomy places the organism in Eukaryota, Metazoa, Arthropoda, Insecta, Diptera, Tephritidae. The record is from RefSeq and is a predicted model, not a curated record. The transcript has 4 exons.